UAUGAUAUUUGGCAAAGCAUUCUAAAGGGUGUGACGCAAAGCUAUAGGGCCUGUAAAAUGGCAGCCAGUUGCAUUU
RNAcentral lists this non-coding RNA (76 nucleotides) under Clostridium sp. RNAcentral describes it as "c-di-GMP sequence". It matches the Rfam family "c-di-GMP-I riboswitch aptamer". Rfam says of the family: GEMM was predicted in a large-scale screen for bacterial structured RNA regulatory elements. Genes associated with GEMM are involved in a diverse array of functions, including chemotaxis regulation, signal transduction, secretion and chitin. The record is from RNAcentral. Lineage: Bacteria; Bacillati; Bacillota; Clostridia; Eubacteriales; Clostridiaceae.